AGGUGUUAUCCUAUCCAUUUGC
This 22-nucleotide microRNA is filed under the name Homo sapiens (human). RNAcentral's name for it is "hsa-miR-4694-5p". The record is from miRBase by way of RNAcentral. Lineage: Eukaryota; Metazoa; Chordata; Mammalia; Primates; Hominidae.